This is an unclassified non-coding RNA of Vespa mandarinia (Asian giant hornet), 2255 nucleotides long. NCBI's taxonomy places the organism in Eukaryota, Metazoa, Arthropoda, Insecta, Hymenoptera, Vespidae. The record is from RefSeq and is a predicted model, not a curated record.
GCGUAUCCGCCAUUUGCGUAAGUCGAUUUCAUUGUUUCUGUGUGUGUGAGCUUAGAGCAAAGGGAAACGUUGGCGAUGGUAAUAUUCGUGUGCAUUUGGAAAAACAUGGAACGAGUCGAUUAGCGUAAUACCACGCACGCUGUAACGCACAUAUAUCCGAAUAUAUACUCUUCCGAAAGUAACGAUGAUAUUUGGCAAAAAUCUUUUCAUGUAAAACGAAGAAAAGUAUUAGACCAUUGUACAUUGAAAAAUGCUGAUUAAAUAAUAUCAAAAAAAAACUGAUUAGUCUACCAAAGUAGCAAGUAUUUGAUAAAUACUAUGGGGGCAUUUUUGGAUACUCCUAAAACAGAUAAAUAUAAUGAACAUGGAGCUGGCAAUGGAUUGCGAUAUGGUGUUGCCAGCAUGCAGGGUUGGAGAUUGGAAAUGGAGGACGCUCACAGAGCUAUAACUGGCUUAGAAGGUGGCCUUUCAGAUUGGAGUUAUUUUGCGGUGUUUGAUGGUCAUGCAGGCGCAUUGGUAUCAGAACAUAGUGCAGAGCAUUUGUUAGAGUGCAUAAUGAAGACUGAAGAAUUCAAAGCCGAAGAUGUCAUUAAGGGAAUACAUUCUGGAUUUCUUCAGCUUGACGAUGAAAUGAGAUACUUACCAGAAAUGAGCUCUGGAAUAGAUAAAUCUGGUUCUACAGCAGUCUGUGCAUUUAUAUGUCCCAGAAAUAUAUAUAUUGCUAAUUGCGGCGAUUCUAGAGCUGUACUCUGUAGUUCUGGAAGCCCGGUAUUCUCAACACGAGAUCAUAAACCUUUUUUAACGGCAGAGAAAGAAAGAAUACAAAAUGCAGGUGGAAGUGUAAUGGUACAAAGAGUAAAUGGUUCAUUAGCAGUUUCAAGAGCACUAGGAGAUUAUGAGUACAAAAAUUUGAAAGAUAGGGGUCCCUGCGAACAGUUAGUGUCACCAGAACCAGAAAUAUUUGUAAGAGACAGAGAUGAUGAACACGAUGAAUUUCUAGUUUUAGCAUGUGAUGGUAUUUGGGAUGUAAUGAACAACGAAGACUUAUGUAAUUUUAUACGAUCAAGGCUAUUGCUUACGGAUGACUUAGAAGCAGUCACGAACCAAGUCAUAGACACAUGUCUUUACAAGGGUAGCAGAGACAAUAUGAGUAUAGUCUUGGUUACGUUCCCUGCUGCACCAAAACCAAAUUCUGAAGCACAGGAGAAGGAGGCUGAGCUGGAAAUGGCCAUUGAAAGGAGAAUUAAAGAAAUAGUAGCAGAACAAAAACAAGAGGAUAAGAUUGACUAUUUGAAACUAUUACAACUUCUUGUGGACCAAGAGUUUCCCAAUCUGCCUCCAGGUGGUGGUCUUUCAGCUAAGCAACUUUUGAUCGAACAAGUGUUUCGAGAAUUAUGUCCUAAGAAAGCGGAUAGUGUAAGUCUUCUAUAUGAUUGAUUCCCUUUAUAUAUAUCGCUGAUUUUUUUAUACUGCAUCAAAUGUACAAUUAUAAUUAAUGGACUUAUCCCGUUUUCAUUCAUAUAAUGAUGCAGAUUUUAAACCAGAAAAACAUUUAUUUUAGUGAUAGCUCAUGAUAUUAAUAACACUGAUUUUAUUGUUGCAUGUGUAGUGCCCUGAGGGAAAGCAAUUGAUAUCAUACUUGUGAUAUGCAGCAUUUUGCACAUAAUUAUUCUGCUGGAGUGGAUUAUAUCUCAAUUGUAAUAUUACUAGCUAUUUAGUUUGACAUUUGACAUUUACUUUUAUAAUUUAAUAUUUCAAAGCCAUUAUUUACCAAUGAUAUUCUAAAUAGAAUUAAUCGUAUAACUGUGAACAAUUGGACAAAUGUGUUUGUCAAUUUUUAAGCUUUUAUAUGAUGUUUAAUGAUUACAACAUAGUUCUCUUUUAAAAAAAAUUACUUUACAAAUAACAACAUUGGUAGUGAUUGGUAGUUGAUACAACAUUCUGGAAAAAACAAAAACAUUCGUGAGAUAAGUUUUGUGAAAUUAAUACAAAUUAGAAAGGAACAGAAACCAUUUUAUUUUUGGCUUGCACUAAAAAAAAAUAUUCUUUAAAUAUAUAUAAAUUUUAAUUUAUUAAUGUCUUAUUAUUUGAACUAUAUCCUAUUUAUAUGUAAAAUAUUAUGAAAUUGUUGACUCUGUGGGUGUGUGUAUAUAUAUAGAAGUAUGAUUUACGAUAGUACAAACAUUUAAAAGUAGUUUUAAAUAAAACAGGUCUUUGAUCCUAACUUGAAUGUGAAUUAUAAUUGUUUUUCUUUU